CAGUAGCCACGGUAAUACAGAGGUCUCAAGCGUUGUUCGGAUUCAUUGGGCGUAAAGGGUGCGUAGGUGGCGGUGUAAGUCUAACGUGAAAUCUCGGGGCUCAACCUCGAAAUUGCGUCGGAUACUGCAUUGCUAGAGGAUUGUAGAGGAGAGUGGAAUUCAUGGUGUAGCAGUGAAAUGCGUAGAUAUCAUGAGGAAGACCAGUUGCGAAGGCGACUCUCUGGGCAAUUCCUGACACUGAGGCACGAAGGCUAGGGGAGCAAACAGGAUUAGAUACCCCGGUAGUCCCUGUCUCUUAUAC
Molecule: ribosomal RNA, 301 nt
Filed under: uncultured bacterium
Lineage: Bacteria
Description: partial 16S ribosomal RNA
Rfam family: Bacterial small subunit ribosomal RNA
Source: RNAcentral